RNAcentral lists this ribosomal RNA (549 nucleotides) under Salmonella enterica subsp. enterica serovar Muenchen. RNAcentral's name for it is "partial 23S ribosomal RNA". It matches the Rfam family "Bacterial large subunit ribosomal RNA", at positions 2238 to 2786 of the family's 2925-position model. RNAcentral also lists the same sequence under 1 other name. Lineage: Bacteria; Pseudomonadati; Pseudomonadota; Gammaproteobacteria; Enterobacterales; Enterobacteriaceae. The record is from RNAcentral.
AUCCGGGUUGCGGACAGUGUCUGGUGGGUAGUUUGACUGGGGCGGUCUCCUCCUAAAGAGUAACGGAGGAGCACGAAGGUUGGCUAAUCCUGGUCGGACAUCAGGAGGUUAGUGCAAUGGCAUAAGCCAGCUUGACUGCGAGCGUGACGGCGCGAGCAGGUGCGAAAGCAGGUCAUAGUGAUCCGGUGGUUCUGAAUGGAAGGGCCAUCGCUCAACGGAUAAAAGGUACUCCGGGGAUAACAGGCUGAUACCGCCCAAGAGUUCAUAUCGACGGCGGUGUUUGGCACCUCGAUGUCGGCUCAUCACAUCCUGGGGCUGAAGUAGGUCCCAAGGGUAUGGCUGUUCGCCAUUUAAAGUGGUACGCGAGCUGGGUUUAGAACGUCGUGAGACAGUUCGGUCCCUAUCUGCCGUGGGCGCUGGAGAACUGAGGGGGGCUGCUCCUAGUACGAGAGGACCGGAGUGGACGCAUCACUGGUGUUCGGGUUGUCAUGCCAAUGGCACUGCCCGGUAGCUAAAUGCGGAAGAGAUAAGUGCUGAAAGCAUCUAAGC